This 2373-nucleotide long non-coding RNA is filed under the name Olea europaea subsp. europaea. Lineage: Eukaryota; Viridiplantae; Streptophyta; Magnoliopsida; Lamiales; Oleaceae. The record is from RNAcentral.
UCUGCUACAACUUUUGUUUCAUCUUGCUACUGUUGAGACUUAAAAAUCCUCUCUAUAUGCCCUAAUUGACCACACUUGUUGCAUUUUGCAUCUGGCCUCCACCAACACUUCUUCUGUGGAUGAUUGGGUUUUUUACAGUAAGGACAAGUUGGAAAGUCCCGAGAGGUUUUGUCGAUGUUAUUAUUGUAGUUAUUUGAGCUUCCUAACUUGUUAUUCUGUUUCUUUGUCUUGUUCUUGCCACCAUAGUUAUUUUGAGAUUUAGCUUGAAAAGUACCUUCUAUAGAACCUUCCUGCCUCAUAAGCCUUCUUCGUUCUUGACCUUGUAGUGCAUUCAACAAUUCUGCGAGGGUAAUUCUUGACAGAUCCCUUGAGUUUUCCAGAGAAGUAAUUGUAGCUUCAAAUUUUUUAGGAAUUGUGACAAGAAUUUUUUGAACAAUUCUAGAAUUAGAAAACUCGAUACCUAGAAGUCUUACUUUAUUGGCAAGACUGAGAAGUUUGUUAGCAUAAUCUUUGAUUGUUUCUGACUCUUUCAUCCUUUGCAUCUCAAAUUCUCGAACCAAAUUUAGCACUUGCAUUCCUUUGAUCUUUUCACUUCCUUCAUACUCUUGCUUUAAGAAAUCCCAAAUCUUUUUAGCUGUUUUCAUUGUCAUUAUUCUGUUGAAAAUAAUGUAAGAGACGGCUAUUGCUCUUGCUUUUGAUUUUCUUAGCUUCUUUUCUUUAUAAUUUUUCAUUUGAGCAAGAGUUGGAUUGCCUGGUAAGUCAGGAACUUCAUAUUCUUGUUCUCCAACUUACCAUAGAUCAUUAGCAUCGAGAUAGGCUUCCAUUUUAACAGCCCACAUUUGAUAAUUUGUUCCAUCAAAUACUUGAGGUGGAAUUGACAUGAAAAAAUCUUCUAAUUCCAUCUUAGGCUGUUUGAAGGUUUUUGUGUUUUAGCUUUUAAAUCUCACAAAUCCCUUAAGAUCAGUGCUCUGAUACCAUAAUGUUGGUAUGCAGAUAACAAUCAGAAUAAGAUUUAUAUGAGAUUAUAAAAGUAUGCAAUUUAUUGAGCAUCAAGUUCAAUAUUUAUACAAUAACUGAAUAACUAAUUUGCAGAAUAAUCUGUUACAUAAAAGAAUAAAAAUUUAUUUCCAAUAAAAUAGCAUAAAGAAAAGGCUAUAGUUUAACUGUCACUUGACUUCUUCAAAGCUCAUCAUAUGUAACAAUAUCUAUCCAUGUCAGCAGCUUCAUGUGUCAUACUGAUCAACAAAAAUCAAGAUACCACAUCCAAUUUGCAAUGACAUUCUCGGAACACAUAAUGCCCAAUCCAUCGCCCUUCUCGUCGACUAUCUCUCUCCCCAAGAACAACAGAACCCACAUUGACCACUUCCUAAAAACAUGAAAUUCAACCACUAUUGCUUAGAGAACCUAUAGAAAAGUAGUUGAAAAUUUCAUUUGUAAACCAAAGAGCUCCUCAAUCGAGUAUAGGAAAAAGUAUUGCUCUGUUCUUUGAAAUUGAAAAAGAGUUGAAUUGGAAAAUAGGAAGGUUGUGGCUGGCAGAGACAUGCGACGAUCACAAGGUGGAUUCCGUAUAUAAUAGGCAAAAAUAAUGGUGGAUUGUAAUGUGUUUGUGAUCGAAGAGAUAAAUGAAGCAAGUGGAUGAAUUUUUUAGGUUCAGAAUUCAGAUUAUGGUCGAUUGAAGCAGUAGAGUAGUGGAUUGUGGUUUCAAUAUUCUAAGUUUGUGGUUUUGAAUUUUCUAAGUCUUGGACAGUCGAUCGUAAGCUAAGCUCAUUGGAGGUGUAGUGCAGUUGGGCAUCGAUCGAUGUUGGUUUGGGUCCGUUGGCGAUUUUGGUAGAGGAUGACGAUGGUGUAUGACGCUGGUGGCGGUGGUUUGGUUUAUGGCUAGAAGAGUAAUUGGUCUAGCGGUAUCAACGAUGAGGCUUCCGAUCGGAGUAGUGUCGUGGAAGUGGCACCUAGUGGGGUGGUUCAGGGUUUGGGCGAGACUAUUGUGUUUUGAAUAAAUGAUGUGAUGCUGAGUUGGCAGAUGGCUUGACAUUUGGAAGGAGUUAAUUGGUCACAUCAUAUUUUCUUCCUCAACAUCAAUUGAAAUGGUAACCAUAAUCCAUCCGAUGAAUAAUGGAGUAAAGUUCAAUGGCUAAUGGAAUGCAUUAAAAAGUUUGAUGAAUAAGCCGUCAAGGUUUAAUGGCUAUUUAGAAAUUUAACUCGAGAAGCAUGAUUGGCAUCUCCAUUCUUCCUUGACAUUGGAGUUGGAACAAUUUGUCCAUCCAAUGAAGAUACUUUCAGAAGUAUAAUUUCAUAUGAUGGCUUUGUUUGAUUUUUUUUCAAAAAUAAACUUUUCUCUCUUUUUCUUUUGAAUCACACAUUCUUUAUUAAAAU